RNAcentral lists this ribosomal RNA (427 nucleotides) under Babesia occultans. Its description in RNAcentral is "SSU rRNA". It matches the Rfam family "Eukaryotic small subunit ribosomal RNA", at positions 538 to 1028 of the family's 1831-position model. Lineage: Eukaryota; Apicomplexa; Aconoidasida; Piroplasmida; Babesiidae. The record is from RNAcentral.
AGAGUACCAAUUGGAGGGCAAGUCUGGUGCCAGCAGCCGCGGUAAUUCCAGCUCCAAUAGCGUAUAUUAAACUUGUUGCAGUUAAAAAGCUCGUAGUUGAAUUUCAGCGUUUCGCGUGUGCCUCUUUUGGCCCAUCUCGUCUCGCUUUUUUUAUUACUUUGAGAAAAUUAGAGUGUUUCAAGCAGGCUUUUGUCUUGAAUACUUGAGCAUGGAAUAAUAGAGUAGGACCUUGGUUCUAUUUUGUUGGUUUUGUUACCUUGGUAAUGGUUAAUAGGAACGGUUGGGGGCAUUCGUAUUUAACUGUCAGAGGUGAAAUUCUUAGAUUUGUUAAAGACGAACUACUGCGAAAGCAUUUGCCAAGGACGUUUCCAUUAAUCAAGAACGAAAGUUAGGGGAUCGAAGACGAUCAGAUACCGUCGUAGUCCUA